This 24-nucleotide microRNA is filed under the name Drosophila virilis. RNAcentral describes it as "dvi-miR-9548-5p". The record is from miRBase by way of RNAcentral. Lineage: Eukaryota; Metazoa; Arthropoda; Insecta; Diptera; Drosophilidae.
UAAGCAAAUAUGCGUGGCACGGCU